Molecule: ribosomal RNA, 484 nt
Filed under: uncultured bacterium
Lineage: Bacteria
Description: partial 16S ribosomal RNA
Rfam family: Bacterial small subunit ribosomal RNA
Source: RNAcentral
AUUGAACGCUGGCGGAAUGCUUUACACAUGCAAGUCGAACGAUGAACCUUAGCUUGCUCCGGGGAUUAGUGGCGAACGGGUGAGUAAUAUAUCGGAACGUGCCUUGUAAUGGGGGAUAACUAGUCGAAAGAUUAGCUAAUACCGCAUACGCCCUGAGGGGGAAAGUAGGGGAUCUUCGGACCUUACGUUAUAAGAGCGGCCGAUAUCUGAUUAGCUAGUUGGUGGGGUAAUGGCCUACCAAGGCGACGAUCAGUAGCUGGUCUGAGAGGACGACCAGCCACACUGGAACUGAGACACGGUCCAGACUCCUACGGGAGGCAGCAGUGGGGAAUUUUGGACAAUGGGCGCAAGCCUGAUCCAGCCAUUCCGCGUGAGUGAAGAAGGCCUUCGGGUUGUAAAGCUCUUUCGCAAGGGAAGAAAACCUACCAUCGAAUAAAUGGUGAGGCUGACGGUACCUUGAGAAGAAGCACCGGCUAACUACGUG